RNAcentral lists this ribosomal RNA (210 nucleotides) under Klebsiella pneumoniae. RNAcentral describes it as "partial 16S ribosomal RNA". It matches the Rfam family "Bacterial small subunit ribosomal RNA", at positions 900 to 1109 of the family's 1533-position model. RNAcentral also lists the same sequence under 1 other name. The record is from RNAcentral. Lineage: Bacteria; Pseudomonadati; Pseudomonadota; Gammaproteobacteria; Enterobacterales; Enterobacteriaceae.
CUCAAAUGAAUUGACGGGGGCCCGCACAAGCGGUGGAGCAUGUGGUUUAAUUCGAUGCAACGCGAAGAACCUUACCUGGUCUUGACAUCCACAGAACUUUCCAGAGAUGGAUUGGUGCCUUCGGGAACUGUGAGACAGGUGCUGCAUGGCUGUCGUCAGCUCGUGUUGUGAAAUGUUGGGUUAAGUCCCGCAACGAGCGCAACCCUUAUC